GAUGAACGCUGGCGGCGUGCCUAAUACAUGCAAGUCGAGCGAACAGACGAGGAGCUUGCUCCUCUGACGUUAGCGGCGGACGGGUGAGUAACACGUGGAUAACCUACCUAUAAGACUGGGAUAACUUCGGGAAAACGGAGCCUAUUCCGGAUAAUAUAUUUAAACGCAUGGUUCAAUAGUGAAAGACGGUUUUGCUGUUACUUUUAGAUUGAACCGCGGCGCAUUAGCCAGUUGGUAAGGUAACGGCUUACCAAGGCAACGAUGCGUAGCCGACCUGAGAGGGUGAUCGGCCACACUGGAACUGAGACACGGUCCAGACUCCUACGGGAGGCAGCAGUAGGGAAUCUUCCGCAAUGGGCGAAAGCCUGACGGAGCAACGCCGCGUGAGUGAUGAAGGUCUUCGGAUCGUAAAACUCUGUUAUUAGGGAAGAACAAAUGUGUAAGUAACUAUGCACGUCUUGACGGUACCUAAUCAGAAAGCCACGGCUAACUACGUG
Molecule: ribosomal RNA, 497 nt
Filed under: uncultured bacterium
Lineage: Bacteria
Description: partial 16S ribosomal RNA
Rfam family: Bacterial small subunit ribosomal RNA
Source: RNAcentral